Molecule: small RNA, 436 nt
Filed under: Arabidopsis thaliana (thale cress)
Lineage: Eukaryota; Viridiplantae; Streptophyta; Magnoliopsida; Brassicales; Brassicaceae
Description: ATSL123300
Source: RNAcentral
AACCUAAUUCCAUUUUCUUCUCUUUCUCUUUUACAUUUUCAUACCCAGUGGCCAACUAAACCAAAAAACAAACGAGUUUCAAACCUCUGUUUUACCGUAGAAAGUUCCGCGGCCGAUGGCGUCAGCGUUUGCGUCUCCCAAAGCAGCCUGGCUGAGGUAGGUCUCGGCAAGUUGGACUCUCUUGACAUUCUCUUGUUCCAUCACAAGCAUGUUUCCGUAUUCCAUAAGCUUCUCAUAAGUCAUCUCGGGUUGCUCGAACACGGGAGGUCCUUCCCUUGAGUUAACCAGCCUCUUUCCGAUCUUCUCAACUCCAAGGCUCUCAACGAACUUCCUCACUUCAUCAUCGUACACUCUCGCCCUCAAAGCACCGAAGAAAUCUGUCCACACCAAAAACACAUAUCAGAUUCUGCACGAGGUCCUAUAUAGAACAUUUUCA